CUACGGGCCGCAGCAGUGGGGAAUAUUGGACAAUGGGGGAAACCCUGAUCCAGCAAUGCCGCGUGUGUGAAGAAGGCCUGCGGGUUGUAAAGCACUUUCGGUUGGGAGGACUGCUUCUAGCACUAAUAUUGUUGGAAGUUGACGUUACCUUCAGAAGAAGCACCGGCUAGCUCCGUGCCAGCAGCCGCGGUAAUAUGGAGGGUGCAAGCGUUAAUCGGAAUUACUGGGCGUAAAGCGCGCGUAGGCGGCUAGAUCAGUCGGGUGCGAAAGCCCCGGGCUUAACCUGGGAACUGCAUCCGAUACUGUCUAGCUUGAGUACAGGAGAGGAGAGUGGAAUUCCACAUGUAGCGGUGAAAUGCGUAGAUAUGUGGAGGAACACCAAUGGCGAAGGCAGCUCUCUGGCCUGAUACUGACGCUGAGGUGCGAAAGCGUGGGGAGCAAACAGGAUUAGAUACCCGAGUAGUC
This 465-nucleotide ribosomal RNA is filed under the name uncultured bacterium. RNAcentral's name for it is "partial 16S ribosomal RNA". It matches the Rfam family "Bacterial small subunit ribosomal RNA", at positions 339 to 795 of the family's 1533-position model. The record is from RNAcentral.